This is a long non-coding RNA of Humulus lupulus (European hop), 949 nucleotides long. RefSeq lists it as uncharacterized. The transcript is spliced from 2 exons. The record is from RefSeq and is a predicted model, not a curated record. NCBI's taxonomy places the organism in Eukaryota, Viridiplantae, Streptophyta, Magnoliopsida, Rosales, Cannabaceae.
AGUAGUUGGUUGACUUCACAUUGAGUUGAGUUGAAAAGAAAAGGAGAAAAGCUAAGAAUAUUGAAUCUCGACCAGCCGAGUAGAAAUAUCUCAGUAGUUGGUAUCAGGUCUUAAUAAUAAUUUUUUUUUGCUAAGUCUUAUAAUUUCUGUUCGACUGGUAGAGAUUCAAUCUUUUCUGCAGAUCACUCUUAUCGUAUCAGGAGAAUGCAUUUAUAUAUGUCACUCACUUGAGAGAAAGAGUGUAUUUGGAGAUGGUGGUGAGUGAGUGUUCUCGGCCCAACCCUUGAGUCUCCACCUCAAUUACAUUCCUAGCAUCACAAAUUUAUUAGAUAUAUUUUUAUAAUAUGUAUUUCUCUUUUCAAGUUGUCAUUAUAAGAAAUUAAUCUAUUAUUUGUUAAUUAAUCAUAAUUAUGUACUUAGCAGCAAAUUUUAUUUUAUAUAUAGGGAUUAUUUUAAUAAGUUACUUUUCUGUCAAAUUUGUGCACACAAACUUAUUAUGAAAAUUUCACCACAUUUAAUGCAUUAACAGACAUGGUUUAUGCAUAUUUGAUCAUUGUGCACACCUCGUCCAUAUAAUACAUACAAUGUUUUAGAAAAGAAAAAUACCAACAAGUAUAUGACUUCUCCCUUUGGACAAAAAUCAAUCUGAAAUAGACAAAAGUUCACUACUACUUAAUUAACUAGCUAUAUUAUUUUGUUACCACGCAUAACUAAUUUGAUGGACACACAAUUAAGUAUACAUUGCGUAAAAUGCUAAAGUUCACAAGUAAUUUUUGUCAUGUUUGACAAGGAAAUUGGACAUGAUGAGGAGGUCUUAACGUAAAUAUUCUUGAUCAAACAAAGUUUACUGUGAUUUUGAAAUGUUUUUUUAUACAAUCCUCAUUCUCGAUCUCACUGCCAUAAUAUAUAUAUAUAUAUAUAUAUUAAUAUAAAAUUGUUGAAACUCUUC